This is a small nucleolar RNA of Drosophila melanogaster (fruit fly), 311 nucleotides long. The record is from Ensembl. NCBI's taxonomy places the organism in Eukaryota, Metazoa, Arthropoda, Insecta, Diptera, Drosophilidae.
ACUGCAAGUUCCUUAGAUCCGUUUCCGGCUUGAAGUGAAACGCAUGAGUCAUAAGCUUGCCACAUUAAAUAGGCUUCAUCGAAUGAUUUUAUAAGAUUCGUGAUGGCGUAAGCAAACCCUACAGCUGCGUUAAAUGCGUUCGCCGUUUCAAGUCGUGUGGCAUCCUCUUCAACGGUGCAAAGGUAGUUCCAUAUUUUUUGGGUCAACCAUUGUCCAAAGUAGCAGGUUUAAAAUACGCGAGAAACAAGAGCACUGAGUAGCUGGGGGCGCCAGAACCACGCUUCAAAAGUAUUCGAGUUGCGACACACUCA